GAUGAACGCUAGCGGCAGGCCUAAUACAUGCAAGUCGGACGGGAUUUGGGAGCUUGCUCCCAAUGAGAGUGGCGCACGGGUGCGUAACACGUAUGUAACUACCUUAAUCAGGGGGAUAGCCUCUCGAAAGAGAGAUUAACACCGCAUAACAUAUUUUUAUGGCUUCGUAGAAAUAUCAAAUAUUUAUAGGAUUAAGAUGGGCAUGCGGAACAUUAGCUAGUUGGUAAGGUAACGGCUUACCAAGGCUACGAUGUUUAGGGGAUCUGAGAGGAUGACCCCCCACACUGGUAAUGAGACACGGACCAGACUCCUACGGGAGGCAGCAGUAAGGAAUAUUGGUCAAUGGGCGCAAGCCUGAACCAGCCAUGCCGCGUGCAGGAAGACGGCCCUAUGGGUUGUAAACUGCUUUUGUACCGGAAUAAACCCUUUUACGUGUAAAAGGCUGAAUGUACGGUAAGAAUAAGGAUCGGCUAACUCCGUGCCAGCAGCCGCAGUAA
This 497-nucleotide ribosomal RNA is filed under the name uncultured bacterium. RNAcentral's name for it is "partial 16S ribosomal RNA". It matches the Rfam family "Bacterial small subunit ribosomal RNA", at positions 28 to 523 of the family's 1533-position model. The record is from RNAcentral.